This 253-nucleotide ribosomal RNA is filed under the name uncultured bacterium. Its description in RNAcentral is "partial 16S ribosomal RNA". It matches the Rfam family "Bacterial small subunit ribosomal RNA", at positions 524 to 776 of the family's 1533-position model. The record is from RNAcentral.
UACGGAGGGGGCUAGCGUUAUUCGGAAUUACUGGGCGUAAAGCGCACGUAGGCGGAUUGACAAGUCAGAGGUGAAAUCCCAGGGCUCAACCUUGGAACUGCCUUUGAAACUGUUUGUCUUGAGGUCGAGAGAGGUGAGUGGAAUUCCGAGUGUAGAGGUGAAAUUCGUAGAUAUUCGGAGGAACACCAGUGGCGAAGGCGGCUCACUGGCUCGAUACUGACGCUGAGGUGCGAAAGCGUGGGGAGCAAACAGG